UACAGAGGGUGCGAGCGUUGUCCGGAAUCACUGGGCGUAAAGGGCGCGUAGGCGGCUUGAUAAGCGUGCGGUGAAAGCCCGGGGCUCAACCCCGGGUCGGCCGUGCGAACUGUCGAGCUGGAGCACUGUAGAGGCAGGUGGAAUUCCGGGUGUAGCGGUGGAAUGCGUAGAGAUCGGAAGGAACAUCAGUGGCGAAGGCGGCUACCUGGACUGAUACUGACGCUGAGGCGCGAGAGCGUGGGGAGCAAACAGG
RNAcentral lists this ribosomal RNA (253 nucleotides) under uncultured bacterium. RNAcentral describes it as "partial 16S ribosomal RNA". It matches the Rfam family "Bacterial small subunit ribosomal RNA", at positions 524 to 776 of the family's 1533-position model. The record is from RNAcentral.